GUGGGGAAUAUUGGACAAUGGGCGAAAGCCUGAUCCAGCCAUGCCGCGUGUGUGAAGAAGGUCUUCGGAUUGUAAAGCACUUUAAGUUGGGAGGAAGGGCAGUAAGUUAAUACCUUGCUGUUUUGACGUUACCAACAGAAUAAGCACCGGCUAACUUCGUGCCAGCAGCCGCGGUAAUACGAAGGGUGCAAGCGUUAAUCGGAAUUACUGGGCGUAAAGCGCGCGUAGGUGGUUUUGUAAAUUGGAGGUGAAAUCCCCGGGCUCAACCUGGGAACUGCCUCCAAAACUGCAUGACUAGAGUACGGUAGAGGGUAGUGGAAUUUCCUGUGUAGCGGUGAAAUGCGUAGAUAUAGGAAGGAACACCAGUGGCGAAGGCGACUACCUGGACUGAUACUGACACUGAGGUGCGAAAGCGUGGGGAGCAAACAGGAUUAGAUACCCGAGUAGUCC
RNAcentral lists this ribosomal RNA (450 nucleotides) under uncultured bacterium. RNAcentral describes it as "partial 16S ribosomal RNA". It matches the Rfam family "Bacterial small subunit ribosomal RNA", at positions 354 to 796 of the family's 1533-position model. The record is from RNAcentral.